Molecule: long non-coding RNA, 417 nt
Filed under: Rattus norvegicus (Norway rat)
Lineage: Eukaryota; Metazoa; Chordata; Mammalia; Rodentia; Muridae
Description: long non-coding RNA NONRATT015540
Source: RNAcentral
AGAAAUUGUAAGAUUUCUUUUAACAUGGAUUUCUCCACCCCAUCCUUUCCCAUAACAGUUUUCUAGAUUUGGGAGACUUCAAAAGGUGGGGCAUACAGAAUGGAGAUGUCAGAGGUCUCUUUGGGUAUACAAGGACCUGAUAAAGUAACGGAAUAAUUCUAAUUUUAGAGAAGCGGUAGUCCUCAUGCUGGGAUGGCAGAAGAUAACCCUGAUGCUAAGAGCCCCAAGACUGGGGCAAGGCCCCAAGGUGGUGCUGAGGCUGGGGAACCUACCACCCUUCUCCAGAGGCUCCGAGGUACCAUUUCCAAGGCCGUGCAGAACAAAGUAGAGGGGAUUCUGCAAGAAGUACAGAAGUUCUCAGACAACGACAAGCUGUACCUCUACCUGCAGCUUCCUUCAGGGCCCAGCACUGGAGAU